GGCCUCGUGGCGCAAUGGUAGCGCGUUGCUCUCCUAUUCUCCGCUUAGAUAAGCAAAGGGUGCAAGUUCGAGUCUUGCCGUGGUCG
Orbilia brochopaga is the source of this 86-nucleotide non-coding RNA. NCBI's taxonomy places the organism in Eukaryota, Fungi, Ascomycota, Orbiliomycetes, Orbiliales, Orbiliaceae. The record is from the annotation of a GenBank genome assembly.